AGUCCCCUGGAAGACGACCAGGUUGAUAGGCCGGCGAUGUAAGGCGAGUAAUCGUUUCAGUUGACCGGUACUAACGGACGAACGCUUGACCAC
This 93-nucleotide ribosomal RNA is filed under the name Planctomycetaceae bacterium. RNAcentral's name for it is "partial 23S ribosomal RNA". It matches the Rfam family "Bacterial large subunit ribosomal RNA", at positions 2831 to 2925 of the family's 2925-position model. Lineage: Bacteria; Pseudomonadati; Planctomycetota; Planctomycetia; Planctomycetales; Planctomycetaceae. The record is from RNAcentral.